Dermacentor andersoni is the source of this 302-nucleotide long non-coding RNA. RefSeq lists it as uncharacterized. Lineage: Eukaryota; Metazoa; Arthropoda; Arachnida; Ixodida; Ixodidae. The record is from RefSeq and is a predicted model, not a curated record.
GUGGAAACAGCACGCUGCGGUAGCCGCUGUCCACGUCCGGUCCGUAGAUGACGUGCCUGUCAGCCCCAACCCGAACAAGGGUGUGCAGAAGCCACUCCGAGGCUCAGCAGGAAGGAAGCGAAAUCUGAGCCUGAUGCAGGGGGCAUUAUGCUGAGAAAGGAAAAGAGGACCACUCACUACAUGCAACCUCUGUAACUGGCAAUCAAAUAUGUCUGUUAAAGAUCAUCUUUAAAUGCAUUUAUUUCAUUGGAAAUGUCAUGAAAAGAGAUAACGGAGAAACACAAUAAAUGUUUUUAAUCUUU